This 256-nucleotide long non-coding RNA is filed under the name Amphimedon queenslandica. RNAcentral describes it as "uncharacterized LOC109593585". Lineage: Eukaryota; Metazoa; Porifera; Demospongiae; Haplosclerida; Niphatidae. The record is from RNAcentral.
GAGUAGUUUUACAUUGGUUUACUACUGAGUAAUGCUGGUCAUUAUGAAGAAAGUCAGGCAUAUCUGGAAAGUGCUCGUAGAUUACAAAACAAGUUUCAUGGAAGUCAAUCAAUUACUGUAGCCACAAUUCAUCAUCUUCUUGCCAACUCAUUGACUCACAUUGGAGCAUUUGCUGAAGCUAAGCAAAAUAAGAGAAAAGCAUACAAUAUCUAUAGGACUAAAUUUGGCCCAGAUCAUGCACGUACUGUUCAGUCUU